GUCUACAGCCAUGGCACCCUGAACGUGCCCGAUCCCGUCUGAUCUCGGAAGCUAAGCAGGGUCGGGCCUGGUUAGUACUUGGACGGGAGACCACCUAGGAAGACCAGGCGCUGUAGGCG
Molecule: ribosomal RNA, 119 nt
Filed under: Pteropus alecto (black flying fox)
Lineage: Eukaryota; Metazoa; Chordata; Mammalia; Chiroptera; Pteropodidae
Source: RNAcentral